This 247-nucleotide ribosomal RNA is filed under the name uncultured bacterium. RNAcentral's name for it is "partial 16S ribosomal RNA". It matches the Rfam family "Bacterial small subunit ribosomal RNA", at positions 523 to 769 of the family's 1533-position model. The record is from RNAcentral.
AUACGUAGGGGGCGAGCGUUGUCCGGAUUUACUUGGGCGUAAAGGGUGAGUAGGCGGUUGUAUAUGUCAGAUGUAAAAGGCUAUGGCUUAACUAUAGUAAGCAUUUGAAACUGUACAACUUGAGUGCAGGAGAGGUAAGUGGAAUUCCUAGUGUAGCGGUGAAAUGCGUAGAUAUUAGGAGGAACACCAGUGGCGAAGGCGACUUACUGGACUGUAACUGACGCUGAGUCACGAAAGCGUGGGUAGC